This 31-nucleotide non-coding RNA is filed under the name Rattus norvegicus (Norway rat). The record is from RNAcentral. Lineage: Eukaryota; Metazoa; Chordata; Mammalia; Rodentia; Muridae.
UGUGCUACUAAAUCCCCAGCGCACAACACGC